AGCGAACGCUGGCGGCGUGCCUAACACAUGCAAGUCGAACGUGAAAGGGAGCAAUCCCAAGUAAAGUGGCGUACGGGUGAGUAACACGUAGGUAAUCCACCCCAGAAUCUGGAAUAACCGGCCGAAAGGCUGGCUAAUACUGGAUAGAGCGACGGAAUCCGUAACUGGGUUUUUCGGGCAAGGGAGCCUGUAAAAAGGCCCUCGUUCUGGGUUGAGCUUGCGUCCCAUCACCUAGUUGGCGAGGUAAAAGCUUACCAAGGCAAUGACGGGUAGCAGGUAAGUGAAGACGGUCAGCAGCUCUGGCACUGAAACACAGUCCAGACUCCUGCGGGAAGCAGCAGUGGGGAAUCUUGCGCAAGGGACGAAAGUCUGAAGGAGCCACGCCGCGUGAGUGACGAAGACCUUCGGGUUGUGAAGCGCGGUCGGGUGGGACGAAAAUGCUUGGAGUUCACAGCUCCAGGAGCUGACGGUACCAGUAAAGGAAGCACCGGCUAACUCCGUG
This 502-nucleotide ribosomal RNA is filed under the name uncultured bacterium. RNAcentral's name for it is "partial 16S ribosomal RNA". It matches the Rfam family "Bacterial small subunit ribosomal RNA", at positions 29 to 507 of the family's 1533-position model. The record is from RNAcentral.